UUAAACCACACCCUUGAAUGCCCCCACAUGUGCCACCAACUACAACUGACCACUAGCCAACAGGUACUUCAGAUCUUCUACUAAAUGCAACUGAGUUGUGUGGGCAGGGGUGUGUGAAAAGCAUCUUUAGGAUUACAGGUGCAUUCAAAUGCAACUGAUAUGCUGUACAAAUCAAAAACUCCUUUUAAAGUUCACAUCAUUAUGAAUUUUCUGCUUGCAGACUUGGGGGUUCCCAUAUAUACAAUUGUCCCCAAAACAUGAAGUCAUGGGGGAGUUGAUCACUGCCCACGAUCUACAAUGAUGGAAGUCCAAUGAAAACAGAAACUCAUGAAAUGUAAGCCUUAACAAGCUCGGUGUAGUUGCAGGUGAGGCCUGUCCUAGGACAUGUGAUUCUGCCGUCAUUCUUCUUCGACAUUUCUUCGAGUGCCUUGGUGCUAUAGACAUAGCCAUUAGGUAAUACAAGGGGUGGGUUUUCAGUAUCCAUCAGUUCUUUUGUUAUGUAGCAAACAAGCUUUGAGUGAUGCUGUUUUGAAUAUGGUAGCGGCGUUGCUAAUUUGCGGAAGCUCUCCUGUGACAAUGGAUCCUCCUUUGUGCAAUCAUCUUCGUAACAGAAUGGAGUUUUAAGUGCAGACAGCCCUGCUUGCAGAUAUAUAUUCAGCGAAGGCUCCAGAGUCAUGCCAUAUAACUUGCAAAACUCUUGUUUGAAUUGAUCAAUCAGGUAAUCCCACUGUUUCGAAUCAAAUAAAACCUUGUAAGUUGUACAUUCAGUAUUACUCUUGAAAGCAAGUGUCGCCAAGACCCGCUGCAACUCUUUCAUGUGGGUAGAACCCCAAGGUGAAAGAUAUUUCCGAGCAUAUGUAAUGGCCCGCAUCAUGUUUUCAGAU
RNAcentral lists this unclassified non-coding RNA (884 nucleotides) under Hevea brasiliensis (rubber tree). The record is from RNAcentral. Lineage: Eukaryota; Viridiplantae; Streptophyta; Magnoliopsida; Malpighiales; Euphorbiaceae.